UGCCAGCCGCCGCGGUAAUACGGAGGGGGCAAGCGUUAUUCGGAUUUAUUGGGCGUAAAGGGCGUGUAGGCGGCUUGAUAAGUCGAAGGUGAAAUCCCAUGGCUCAACCAUGGAACUGCCUUCGAAACUGUCUGGCUAGAGUUCGGGAGAGGGUAGUGGAAUUCCCAGUGUAGCGGUGAAAUGCGUAGAUAUUGGGAGGAACACCAGUGGCGAAGGCGACUACCUGGACCGACACUGACGCUGAGGCGCGAAAGCGUGGGUAGCAAACAGGAUUAGAUA
This 279-nucleotide ribosomal RNA is filed under the name uncultured bacterium. RNAcentral describes it as "partial 16S ribosomal RNA". It matches the Rfam family "Bacterial small subunit ribosomal RNA", at positions 506 to 784 of the family's 1533-position model. The record is from RNAcentral.